GUAGGGUGCGAGCGUUGUCCGGAUUUAUUGGGCGUAAAGAGCUCGUAGGCGGCUCGUCGCGUCGACCGUGAAAACCCGCGGCUUAACUGCGGGCUUGCGGUUGAUACGGGCGGGCUAGAGUUCGGUAGGGGAGACUGGAAUUCCUGGUGUAGCGGUGAAAUGCGCAGAUAUCAGGAGGAACACCGGUGGCGAAGGCGGGUCUCUGGGCCGAUACUGACGCUGAGGAGCGAAAGCGUGGGGAGCGAACAGGAUUAGAUACCCUGGUAGUCCACGCUGUAAACGUUGGGCGCUAGGUGUGGGGGGCCUCUCCGGUUCUCUGUGCCGCAGCUAACGCAUUAAGCGCCCCGCCUGGGGAGUACGGCCGCAAGGCUAAA
Molecule: ribosomal RNA, 374 nt
Filed under: uncultured bacterium
Lineage: Bacteria
Description: bacterial SSU rRNA
Rfam family: Bacterial small subunit ribosomal RNA
Source: RNAcentral